Molecule: non-coding RNA, 73 nt
Organism: Ascosphaera aggregata
Lineage: Eukaryota; Fungi; Ascomycota; Eurotiomycetes; Onygenales; Ascosphaeraceae
Source: the annotation of a GenBank genome assembly
GCUCGGAUAGCUCAAUUGGUAGAGCAUGGCACUGAAGAUGCUAUUGUUAUAAGUUCAAGUCUUGUUUCGAGCA